RNAcentral lists this ribosomal RNA (280 nucleotides) under Pleurogrammus azonus (Okhostk atka mackerel). Its description in RNAcentral is "partial 12S ribosomal RNA". It matches the Rfam family "Bacterial small subunit ribosomal RNA", at positions 1174 to 1527 of the family's 1533-position model. The record is from RNAcentral. Lineage: Eukaryota; Metazoa; Chordata; Actinopteri; Perciformes; Hexagrammidae.
AACCUAAAACGUCAGGUCGAGGUGUAGCGCAUGAAAGGGGAAGAAAUGGGCUACAUUCGCUGCUACAGCGAACACGAAAGGUGCACUGAAACGUACAUCUGAAGGAGGAUUUAGCAGUAAGCGGGGAAUAGAGCGUCCCGCUGAAAUCGGCCCUGAAGCGCGCACACACCGCCCGUCACUCUCCCCAAAAACACCUACUCAGUUAAUUAAAACCUAAUAAUUAUAGAGGGGAGGCAAGUCGUAACAUGGUAAGUGUACCGGAAGGUGCACUUGGGAUAUC